Molecule: ribosomal RNA, 463 nt
Filed under: uncultured Rubellimicrobium sp.
Lineage: Bacteria; Pseudomonadati; Pseudomonadota; Alphaproteobacteria; Rhodobacterales; Roseobacteraceae
Description: partial 16S ribosomal RNA
Source: RNAcentral
CACGGAGUUAGCCGGGGCUUCUUUACCGGGUACCGUCAUUAUCUUCCCCGGCGAAAGGGCUUUACGACCCUAAGGCCUUCAUCACCCACGCGGCAUGGCUGGAUCGGGGUUGCCCCCAUUGUCCAAGAUUCCCCACUGCUGCCUCCCGUAGGAGUCUGGGCCGUGUCUCAGUCCCAGUGUUGCUGAUCAUCCUCUCAAACCAGCUACCGAUCGUCGGCUUGGUGAGCCGUUACCCCACCAACUACCUAAUCAGACGCGGGCCGAUCCCUUGCCAGCCUACCUUGCGGUAAACCUUUCCCCCUCAGGGCACAUCCGGUAUUACCCCCAGUUUCCCAGGGCUAUUCCGGAGCAAAAGGCACGUUCCACGCGUUACUAACCCGUCCGCCGCUCCCCCUUGCGGGGGCGCUCGACUUGCAUGUGUUAAGCCUGCCGCCAGCGUUCGUUCUGAGCAGGAUCAAACUCU